Molecule: ribosomal RNA, 254 nt
Filed under: uncultured bacterium
Lineage: Bacteria
Description: partial 16S ribosomal RNA
Rfam family: Bacterial small subunit ribosomal RNA
Source: RNAcentral
UACGGAGGGGGCUAGCGUUGUCCGGAAUUACUGGGCGUAAAGGGCUCGUAGGUGGCCAACUAAGUCGGACGUGAAAUCCCUCAGCUUAACUGGGGAACUGCGUCCGAUACUGGAUGGCUUGAGUUUGGGAGAGGGAUGCGGAAUUCCAGGUGUAGCGGUGAAAUGCGUAGAUAUCUGGAGGAACACCGGUGGCGAAGGCGGCAUCCUGGACCAACACUGACACUGAGGAGCGAAAGCCAGGGGGAGCAAACGGG